GUGAAUCAUCAAAUUUUUGAACGCAAAUUGCACUCCCUGGUAUUCCGGGGAGUAUGCCUGUUUGAGGGUCGGUAGAUUAAAAAAUCGAUUGGUCGCUCUUUUUUUAAGGUUAAUCCGGUCGGAAUGAAGCGGUCUUUCAAAUGUUAUUUCUUGUCAAAGUGGCUUGAAAUUUAUCAAUCUGGUACG
RNAcentral lists this unclassified non-coding RNA (186 nucleotides) under Glomeraceae sp. RNAcentral's name for it is "partial contains 5.8S ribosomal RNA and internal transcribed spacer 2". The stretch from base 1 to 71 matches the Rfam family "5.8S ribosomal RNA", at positions 84 to 154 of the family's 154-position model. The record is from RNAcentral. Lineage: Eukaryota; Fungi; Glomeromycota; Glomeromycetes; Glomerales; Glomeraceae.